This is a non-coding RNA of Dermatophagoides farinae (American house dust mite), 3447 nucleotides long. The record is from RefSeq and is a predicted model, not a curated record. NCBI's taxonomy places the organism in Eukaryota, Metazoa, Arthropoda, Arachnida, Sarcoptiformes, Pyroglyphidae.
UCGAAGAGUCGGCCAAUGAACAGCAUAAUAAAUCUAAUAAUGUUUGAAAAUAAAUCUAAACAAUCGGAAAAAACAGAACCGAAAAAUAAGGAUAAACCUUUGGUCAACGAAAUUUCAUUUCGAAAGAAUGUAAUCAUCAAUUCAUUCACGGAUAAUAUCCUUGUUGACAUAUUGAAACAUGACUAUCAACUUUCAAUCAUACACGAAUUCAUCUACUUGUCUUAUUCUGUUUAAUAAUGAAACAAAGAAUUUAUGUGCUAAACAAAUUGCUCAAUCAUAUAAUCGUUGAAUCAUCUUAUUGAUAUGUUGGAAAAUGGAUCAUAUUUGUGGAUUAUUACAUAUGAGAAACAAAAAACGAUCAAUUUCGACUUACCAAAAAUGGAUGUGGCAUCAUCAAUUCUAUUGAUUGAUUAUUAAUCGUCAAAUUGUUGUCUUAUAUGGAAACAUUUUGAUAAAUGAUACAAUUCGUUGGUCAGCAUAUCAAACUGUAUACGAUAUCCAGAAAUCGACAAAUCAUGUUUUCUGUUGAUACAUAGAAUGUAUGCUUUUUCGUCGAAAAGAAUGGCAUAAGUCGUUUGUUGGAAAUAUCAUCACAAUGCUUUAUUUUUCCUGGUUCUAUUCCAAUGGCUACCUUGAUCAUUCGUCAUAUGAUCGAACACAGUUUAUUAUUGAAAACAUCAAUGGAUAUGAUUCUUUGUGCUCAAACAAAUCCACCACCGAAUUCUAUACGUGAACUAAGAUUAUUUGUAUUGUCGUUUCAGUCUCGCUGUCCAUAUAUUGUGAUAGUGAUAUAUCUAAAAAAUCGACAUUCAAUUUUAUAAUGUACUACACUCACUGACUGCAUCGCACCAAAUGACACAGGUAUCAUAACAAUAACACAAUCAUCAGCUCCACCUGCUUACGAUACGAAUGGUUGACCAUUCCAAGUUGAUGGACAGACAUGCAAGCUUUUCGGUUAGAAAUGUUGAUGGUUCUAGUUAUGGUUAUGGCAGCAGCAAAGGGUAGUUUCAGUCAUCAAUUCUCUAAUGCAAUUUUACUACCGUUGUUCAUUUCGAGGAAAAAAACCUAUAAGACUACAAGGCCCUUUCAUCUAUUUUGGCCCUUGGUCCUAGUGAUCAUUCAUGAUAGUCAAAUCAGUUCAAUUCGAUUCUUUCUGUGUAAAUCGACAGAGGAUCAUCAUCUUAUAGUUCAAUCAAAAAGACCGAUACAAUCAGAACCAGAUCUACCAACGAUUUGAACCAACCAACAAGCUUAAUUAUUCGUCUGUGAAAAUGUUUUGAACAUGAUUAUAUUUCUUUGGCCCAAACUUUUCCUGAACAAUUAUCAAUAGAAGGAAAUAAUAAUGUUCAUGUAUAGACUGGUUUACAAUAAAAACUAACCGAUGACAAGAAACGAGUCAGCGGUCAAAAGAAAACGAUCAUGUUCUGGCGUUAUUUCAUUUUUUUAAAACUAUUUGUCUGUUUUCCUAUAAACUGUUGUUUUAAUUAUUUCAUUGUUUAAAGUCGUUUAUGAAUAAAGAUCAUUUUUUUAAAAAUUCCCUAAACGGUUCGUUUGUUUGUUAUGUUUGCUAAAUCAAAGAUCAACAAAGAAGAGUGGUAUUGAGAAACCACCCCCAAAUUUUUUUUUUAUUUUUUUUUUUAAUUUUUUUUUAAAUAUUCACAAAUUCAUUCAUGUAACAAAAAAAAAGACAAAAUCAAAGCAACUACAUCAUUAAAUUUUCAAACUGUAUCUUUCAUGGAAAAUCAUAUCAUUUAAUUAAGAAAAGCUCUGUUUGAAAUUAACUGAUCGUUUCAUUCGCAUAAUUACACAUAUUAUUACAAUGGCAUUAACACCCCGGCUGCUGAUAAUCAAGAUCAUUUGUUGGCCAUACUCGAAUUUUAGAAUUUGAUGUCAAACGACGAUAUUUCCACCAAGAUAGCACAAGGCAGUAGUCCACCAGUCAAAAAAAGUCGAAUAGAUGAGCCAUGUCAGAUAGAACAUAUCUUGUUACGUCCAAAUAUUGGAUCCGUUGAGAAAGUCACCAAGCAAAUGUGGGUAUAUGACAGUCAAGAUGGAAUGGUUUUACGUGAUGUUUCAUAUGUGCCCCAAUUAUAUAAAAUUUUUGAUGAAAUUCUUGUAAAUAUUGCUGAUGAUAAAAUUUGUGAUCAAAAAAUGACCAUUAUUAAAAUCGAAAUCAAUAUGUAAAGUGAUGAAAUAAUUUUUUUUAACAAUGGCCGUGGAAGAACGUUUCUGAUCCCACAUCAAGAUAUAAAUGGUGCUGAAACAAUUGUUUUCACAACAAGGAUUUUUGGCAAUAUUUUAUCAUCAUUAAAUUGUAUUAAUAAUAACGCUACAAGUGUAUAUGAUUACACAAAUAGGAUCCCAUUAUUAGUGGUAAUUGAUGGUUCCAUUCAAAAUUCACAGCUAAAUUAAAUUUUGCUCGAUACACUAGUGGUUGAUUCAUCAAAUCAAGCAAAAAUUUUUAUUUACAUCGUCCACGAAACACGACACUUGAUUUUGAUUUUCAAUAUAACGGACAAAUAGCCAAUUGUCAUUGUUUCAAAAAUCAUUGGCGAGCUUAUUGGUCCACUAUUGAUCAAUGUCAUCGAAGACAGUGAAGCUCCUACUUUUUUCAAAAACCAAAAGGUUUUAAAAAGACUACUAGGCAAAUGGUUAUUACCUAAAAAAAUGGAUGGUCUAAUGACAUCAUUUGCUUCUGCAUCGGUUCAGCUAUUGAUUUCACCAAUAACAUUUGAUGAUAAAAACAAGUGGCUGUUGCCUCAAGAUUGAAAUAUAUCGUUUUUAGAUAUCAUAUGAUUGGAAAUUUGUUCAAAGAGCAAGUCAUAGACGUGGACUGGUUUAAUCCUAGAAAGGCAACCAUAUCGAUAUUGCGGUAAAGGGAACCUUUCUAUGGUCAAAGUUGGAAGUCAAGUCAUUUGUUGUAGUUUUUGUGACGUUCCAAUCUUUAUUUCCACAAGAGGAGUGUUGGAAUUAUUGAACAAAUAAUUCCAACAGUUUUACAUAAAAAUUUAUGAAUUUGGAUCAUUUGAUUCAGUAUCAUAAAAAUCAAUACUCCGAAUAUUCGAUAAUUCGAUAUACUAUUUUUAUUGACGUUACAAAAUAACCACAAUAUAACAAUUUUAUUACAACAAAUUGUAUUACAAUAACAAAUAAUACAACAUAAACAUAAAAUUUAUCUACCAGAAGUGUAUCGAGCAAUAUUAAUAUUGCUCGAUACACUUAAAGAACAAAUGUAAUUCUAACAAAUUAUAUUUACAUUUACAUGUUUAUGAAUGUUUGUCGCAUCCUUUGAUGCUCGAUCAUUCGGAUUUCGAUCUGUGGGAUUGUUAUGGUUUUCAUAAAAUUCCCUGACAUACACAACAAAAUAUGUGAUACUUUUCUUUUAUUUCCUAUUUUUUAAUUACUAAUUCAAAUUUUAUGAUUAUAUAUUAUCAAUCAAUUGUUGCA